This 669-nucleotide unclassified non-coding RNA is filed under the name Hevea brasiliensis (rubber tree). Lineage: Eukaryota; Viridiplantae; Streptophyta; Magnoliopsida; Malpighiales; Euphorbiaceae. The record is from RNAcentral.
UCGUAUUAUAUUGAAAUGAAACGACUUCGUAGCUUUGAAGGCUGCUUACAAUAUAUUUUUUUUCAUUUGUUUUGGAUCACUUCUGUCAUUUAUCUUCUUGUUCUUUGCCUUUAACCUGAAUGGCGAAAAAGAAUGCAUGUAGCGAACCACAUCUAGUUUGGGGUUUAAUGCUUAGUUGUUGUUGUUCUUUGGCUUUACCCUCUGCUUGGAUUGAAGUAAAUAGGAGAGGAAAGAAAAUGGAGGGAAAUAAUGGGUGGAAUAGGAUUUUCCCCUUGUUUGUAUAAGGGAGGAAAAUUGCAAAAGGAAAGAAAAUAAAGCUUUAUUUUCCUUCUAGAGCAUUCUCUCCAAUUUGGAGAGAAAAUGAAGAGGCGAUGAUGCGAAAUUUUAGUAUUGAGUCAAAAAUUACUUAUUUGUCCUUUAUAUUUUAAAUUCUAUUUAGGAAUAUGGAAGUUAUAACUAUAAACUCACAAAAUAUUUUCUUUCCUUUCUUAAGUUUCUUCUCUUCCUAAACAAGAAAAAAUAUAUUUAUUUCCCUUCAUCCCCUUUUAUUUUUUUUCAAUCCAAACAACAAAGAGGAAAAUAAGAAAGAUAAUUUUUUUUCCAUUAUUUUCCCUUUCUCUUAUAUGUUUCCAAACAGAGGGUUAAACUCUGUAAUGGUGCAGGUUUGAG